This 155-nucleotide ribosomal RNA is filed under the name leaf litter ascomycete strain its036. RNAcentral describes it as "5.8S ribosomal RNA". It matches the Rfam family "5.8S ribosomal RNA". Rfam says of the family: 5.8S ribosomal RNA (5.8S rRNA) is a component of the large subunit of the eukaryotic ribosome. It is transcribed by RNA polymerase I as part of the 45S precursor that also contains 18S and 28S rRNA. Lineage: Eukaryota; Fungi; Ascomycota. RNAcentral also lists the same sequence under 5 other names. The record is from RNAcentral.
AACUUUCAACAAUGGAUCUCUUGGUUCUGGCAUCGAUGAAGAACGCAGCGAAAUGCGAUAAGUAGUGUGAAUUGCAGAAUUCAGUGAAUCAUCGAAUCUUUGAACGCACAUUGCGCCCCUCGGUAUUCCGUGGGGCAUGCCUGUUCGAGCGUCAU